CACAGCCAGGUCAAACCGAAACAAUGCUCGUAAUAACGCCUCCAGACUAGUUCAUCAUCGUCCCUGACUCGAUUUCGCACCGUCGACAUUAGGGAGAAGAAAUCAAGACGACGUUUCCAACUCUCUCUUCAUCACAUACGCAAAUGAAAGAAUACGAAGGGCGACUUACCGGCCGGUUUCGAUGUGGUGCCUUCGAUUUGUCUCAAUCUCUUCUGUUGAGAAUCAUAAUCAUGGUUCCGGAUUUCGUCUGCUACGCGUGUUGUUGAUUGAGAUGAGAAUGAAGGUGGAGCUUUGUUCGCGCAUGGUGUUUCCUUGUCGAUUCAAGAUGAAGGAAGGUUGUUGAACCGAGGAUUGAGAUCUUUCGUCCGGAUUUCGCGUUGUCGAAGGCGAAGGUGAAGACUUUGGUUUUAUGCGUGUGUUGUGCGUAAUUUUUUCUUUGAAGAGAGAAGCUUGGUUCUUCGAUUCCGUCAGAUUGAAGUUCUAUCGCGUCGGCUCAGUUAAUUGCAGGGUUGAUGAGAGAGUGAGGGGGUUUUGGCAGCAGUGGUUUUGGGAGGUUCUUCCGUUGGGGGAGAAGUGAUGGAGGAUGGUUUUUGAAGAGUUGUUGAGAUGGAAGGUUCGAGGAGAGGGUGAGAGAAUGGUGGAGCAUUGUUAGGGGUUGAUGGUGAAGGAGUGAGGCAACGCGAGAAGAAGGGUGUUCUUGAUUCCUCCUUUUGGUUCUCGUUUCUGGUUCUUCUGAAUUAUUGCAGUGAUGCGCGGUCGUUGCCGAUGGAGGUUGAGGAUGGAUGAAGGGGUGAAGGCUGCAGAACUAGCGAAGAACAGGGGAUUGCAGGAUGAAUCCGGAGAUGAAAGUUGCCAAUCUCAGAAUGGAGAACAGAGGGUUAUGGAGUGAAUAAAAGAGUUGAAGAUCAUAGACUCUACACAGCUUGUUGCAGAGUGAGAUGCUGAAGACGAAAAUUGCCAAAAAGAGAAACCCCCUCAGAAUGAGGCUUGGAGGGCUUAUAUAGAGUGCUCAGCCUAACCGAUUCGGGCAGACCUCGGUAAAUCGGUCAGUUAGUUAUUCUGUUAGGGAUGGUGCACACAUGAAUAUGGAUGUACAAAGCUUGGGAAAGGGGUUUUCAUGGCUAGGAAGGGAUUGGUUCGAGUUGUGGAGUGCUCGAAAUUGCUUUGGAUUAUUGUAUUUUUGAAUUGGAAUUUGAAUGUACAUUUUGUAGUUUGGAAUGUAAUGUGUAAUAGUUAGUUAUGAUUAUGGUUGUAACUUGUGUAUUAGCAAAUGGAUGUGAUUGAAAAUCCAGAAAUCGGAUAGAAAAUUUGUAUGUUAUGUAAUGGUUUUGUAAUUGUUUGGAUCAUGUUGAAUAUAAAGAUAGCUUAUAGUUUA
Long non-coding RNA from Lathyrus oleraceus (garden pea), 1375 nucleotides. RefSeq lists it as uncharacterized. The record is from RefSeq and is a predicted model, not a curated record. The transcript is spliced from 3 exons. Lineage: Eukaryota; Viridiplantae; Streptophyta; Magnoliopsida; Fabales; Fabaceae.